This is a long non-coding RNA of Orbicella faveolata, 707 nucleotides long. Lineage: Eukaryota; Metazoa; Cnidaria; Anthozoa; Scleractinia; Merulinidae. The record is from RefSeq and is a predicted model, not a curated record.
GAUUUAUUUUUUCGUUAUGUGACAGGAAAACGAUCUAUAGGGUUGCACUAUACAUUCACCGAGUGGCUGUGCUAACCAGGAGGCCAUAUGAAACGGGUGACCGUGAGAAGGGGUUCUACCGUAAAAUUAUUGACAAGGAAAGAGUUUUAUCGAAAGUAAAAGCUGGUGUUUUCUUUUUAACAAGUUACUUUUUCCGCUUCCCUCUCUUCCCGGCUAUCUUUGCACUUCGUCGGUCAGGAAGGAAAAAGCUGCCAAUGUUUCGAAUGCAAAAGGCCCACAAUUCCACUUCGCCGUUUUACAAUAAGGGAAUGUGAUUGGGUGCGAGGACGUUUCCGCUUAUUGUUAUAUUGACAACUGUUCCUAGUCUUAAAGUUCAUCAUUAACCAUUUCAUGACAUAUCUGCGCCAUUGAAGCAUAUCUACUGUCAGCAGAAAAUUCCAAUUUCAGCUCAGUUAAUUUUAGAGACUAAAGUUGACAUGUUCGGCGAUAUUUGUUUUAACCCUGUUUAACAUUUCACAUAUUGUUAAAUUUGAUGCAAAUCAGUCGACUGAAUUUCCUCUGGAGCCCAUCAGAACAAAAGCGGAGAAACAGACGGACAUUUACCAACGCGGAGACUCACCUUAACUUCCAAGCAAAGUCGUGUUAGCUGAGGUUUAAGUCAAGAGUUGGACUGUAAUAAUUUCAAGAAGAAUCUUAUUCCUUCCAUA